UUAUACUUGUAUUUGGUACUACUGAUUGUGUUUUCCUUGAUAAAAUGUAGCAUACUCCAGGAAAAGUAAUACAUUUUCACCCCUUGUUAGAACACUCAUGUAAUUCAAGCAAAUAACACAAACACAGUCUGAAUUUCAGUCUUCUAGACCCGGUUUUCCCCAACAUCAGACUAAUUAGUUUUAUUCCAUCUAGCCAACACCUGCUUGAGAAGAACAUUUAGUGUCAUAAAACAAACCACCCACCAAGAAAUAAGGAAACUGAGAAAAGCCCACACACCAACGUCAUGUUGCCAAGCUCAGCUCUAAAACAAAGCCUUACAACACACCCUGGUGGAUUCUCUUGGAGGAAACUCCAUUUUCUAAUGGAUCCUGAGGAGUUCUGUCUUCUUUUUUACUCCUACUGGUGAUGACAGUGUGCAUUGGUGAUAAGGACUGGACAUUGACCUUGUGAUGAGAAAACAGAAUGGGGAAUGAAGCCUGUCCCUGGAAAUGCUGGACAGCUGAAGCCACGAUGACAAAGGAGAAGAUUAGAGGCAACUGAGACCUAACCAAGUCACGGACCUGGAAGAUGAAAAGAAGACGUGUAAGAAUGAAAUGGGAAAGAAAGAAGGACGAAGCUGAGCUAUGAGAAACCCAGCAGGGAAUGAGGACGUUGUGGCUGGCGUAUCUGCUACUGAAAUGCUGGAAUCUUACAGGAACUUUCUACCAAGGUCACACUGAGUGAGGAUAAUGCUCCGUGUGUGAAGACUGUGUCCCUCUUUGGCAUGUUUCAGACAGUGUCUGAUGUUGGAAAGAUGAAUCUAGGAAAAUGGUGUUGUAGGAUGCCUUCAAUUAAAAAACAAAUGAACAAGACCAGGGUCAGUCAGCACUGGAGAUCUGUAAGGAGGGGCAAGCUCCCUCUUGCAGAAACUGGAGCCAGGUGGGGUUCAGGACUGUGUAACAAACCUUGUACUAAGGAUGUUUGGCAGAGUAACAGGGAAUAAUUUGGGGUUCUCAUACUAAGUCCUUUGUUUCAGGGGUACUGGAAUGGUAAUGGGAAAUCUGAGGAGCAGCUCAGUCAGGAAGGGCCCAGGGAAUACUGCAUGUCUGGGUGAUGGGCACACCCCGAGAAUUCAGCAGUGCAGAGCCUCCCAUGGCUUCAUAGGAGCCUUGCUAGGAGUGGAUCACUGGAUCCCAGGAUUGGAAACUUUCUUAACCCCUGUGAUUAUUCCUCUAGUCCCACGAGCCUUUUUCCUCACAGU
Molecule: long non-coding RNA, 1241 nt
Organism: Homo sapiens (human)
Lineage: Eukaryota; Metazoa; Chordata; Mammalia; Primates; Hominidae
Exons: 4
Source: RefSeq, a predicted model, not a curated record